RNAcentral lists this ribosomal RNA (495 nucleotides) under uncultured bacterium. Its description in RNAcentral is "partial 16S ribosomal RNA". It matches the Rfam family "Bacterial small subunit ribosomal RNA", at positions 29 to 506 of the family's 1533-position model. The record is from RNAcentral.
AUGAACGCUGGCGGCGUGCCUCAUCCAUGCAAGUCGAGCGAACAGACGAGGAGCUUGCUCCUCUGACGUUAGCGGCGGACGGGUGAGUAACACGUGGAUAACCUACCUAUAAGACUGGGAUAACUUCGGGAAACCGGAGCUAAUACCGGAUAAUAUAUUGAACCGCAUGGUUCAAUAGUGAAAGACGGUUUUGCUGUCACUUAUAGAUGGAUCCGCGCCGCAUUAGCUAGUUGGUAAGGUAACGGCUUACCAAGGCAACGAUGCGUAGCCGACCUGAGAGGGUGAUCGGCCACACUGGAACUGAGACACGGUCCAGACUCCUACGGGAGGCAGCAGUAGGGAAUCUUCCGCAAUGGGCGAAAGCCUGACGGAGCAACGCCGCGUGAGUGAUGAAGGUCUUCGGAUCGUAAAACUCUGUUAUUAGGGAAGAACAAAUGUGUAAGUAACGAUGCACGUCUUGACGGUACCUAAUCAGAAAGCCACGGCUAACUACGU